Molecule: ribosomal RNA, 346 nt
Filed under: uncultured bacterium
Lineage: Bacteria
Description: partial 16S ribosomal RNA
Rfam family: Bacterial small subunit ribosomal RNA
Source: RNAcentral
AUACAUAGGGGGCAAGCGUUAUCCGGAAUUAUUGGGCGUAAAGGGUGCGUAGGCGGUCUAUUAAGUCUGAGGUGUAAGUGCAGGGAUCAACCCUGUGAUGCUUUAGAAACUGGUAGACUUGAGUGAGAUAGAGGCAAGUGGAAUUCCAUGUGUAGCGGUAAAAUGCGUAAAUAUAUGGAGGAACACCAGUGGCGAAGGCGGCUUGCUGGGUCUAUACUGACGCUGAGGCACGAAAGCGUGGGGAGCAAACAGGAUUAGAUACCCUGGUAGUCCACGCCGUAAACGAUGAGUACUAAGUGUGGCGAGAACGCAGUGCUGAAGUUAACAUAUUAAGUACUCCGCCUGA